This 74-nucleotide transfer RNA is filed under the name Candidatus Parcubacteria bacterium. RNAcentral describes it as "tRNA-Gly". It matches the Rfam family "tRNA". Rfam says of the family: Transfer RNA (tRNA) molecules are approximately 80 nucleotides in length. Their secondary structure includes four short double-helical elements and three loops (D, anti-codon, and T loops). Lineage: Bacteria; Candidatus Parcubacteria. The record is from RNAcentral.
GCGAGAGUAGUACAGCGGUAGUACACUUGCUUCCCAAGCAAGAGAUGCGGGUUCGACUCCCGUCUCUCGCUCCA